AAUUCUCAACUCUCCAAUACUUUUGCGGUAAAGGAGGGCUUGGAUUGUGGGGGUGUGCUGGCCACUUUGUGAGGCCAGCUCCCCUGAAAUGCAUUAGCGGAACCGUUUGCGAUCUGCCACAAGUGUGAUAACUAUCUACACUAGCGAGGGGAUUGCUCUGUGUUGUUCAGCUUCCAAUCGUCUGCAAAGACAAUUUUCUGAAU
RNAcentral lists this unclassified non-coding RNA (203 nucleotides) under uncultured Agaricaceae. Its description in RNAcentral is "sequence contains ITS2". The record is from RNAcentral. Lineage: Eukaryota; Fungi; Basidiomycota; Agaricomycetes; Agaricales; Agaricaceae.